Molecule: transfer RNA, 74 nt
Filed under: Ipomoea nil (Japanese morning glory)
Lineage: Eukaryota; Viridiplantae; Streptophyta; Magnoliopsida; Solanales; Convolvulaceae
Rfam family: tRNA
About the family: Transfer RNA (tRNA) molecules are approximately 80 nucleotides in length. Their secondary structure includes four short double-helical elements and three loops (D, anti-codon, and T loops).
Source: Rfam by way of RNAcentral
GAUUGCAUAGCGUAGUGGAUUAGCGCGUCUGACAUUGAAUUAAAAGGCUAUGAGUUCAACUCUCAUUGUGGUUG